RNAcentral lists this ribosomal RNA (497 nucleotides) under uncultured bacterium. Its description in RNAcentral is "partial 16S ribosomal RNA". It matches the Rfam family "Bacterial small subunit ribosomal RNA", at positions 28 to 507 of the family's 1533-position model. The record is from RNAcentral.
GACGAACGCUGGCGGCGUGCCUAAUACAUGCAAGUCGAGCGCUUUUGCUUUGUACUUAUCUCAAUUCGCUGAGCAACGAACAGUUGAGUACCGCGUGGUGAAUCUGCCUUUGAGCGGGGGACAACGGUUGGAAACGAAUGCUAAUACCGCCUAAAACCUUUAAACUCCAUUUUUAAGAUUGAAAAAAGAAAUUACAUCCCUUAGAGUUGAUCACGCGUUGUAUUAGCUAGUUGGUGAGGUAAAGGCCCACCAAGGCGGUGAUACAUAGCCGACCUGAGAGGGUGAUCGGCCACAUUGGGACUGAGACACGGCCCAGACUCCUACGGGAGGCAGCAGUAGGGAAUCUUCGGCAAUGGACGCAAGUCUGACCGAGCAACGCCGCGUGAGUGAAGAAGGUUUUCGGAUCGUAAAACUCUGUUGGUAGAGAAGAACGAGGGUGAGAGUGGAAAGCUCAUCAAGUGACGGUAACUACCCAGAAAGCGACGGCUAACUACGUG